GACGAACGCUGGCGGCGUGCUUAACACAUGCAAGUCGAACGGAAAGGCCCCUUUGGGGGUACUCGAGUGGCGAACGGGUGAGUAACACGUGAGUAACCUGCCCUUGACUUCGGGAUAACUUCAGGAAACUGGGGCUAAUACCGGAUAGGAAUCCUUGCUGCAUGGUGGGGGUUGGAAAGCUUCGACGGUUUUGGAUGGACUCGCGGCUUAUCAGCUUGUUGGUGGGGUAGUGGCUUACCAAGGCUUUGACGGGUAGCCGGCCUGAGAGGGCGACCGGCCACAUUGGGACUGAGAUACGGCCCAGACUCCUACGGGAGGCAGCAGUGGGGAAUAUUGCACAAUGGGCGGAAGCCUGAUGCAGCAACGCCGCGUGCGGGAUGACGGCCUUCGGGUUGUAAACCGCUUUCAGCAGGGGCGAAGCUUGUGGUGACGGUACCUGCAGAAGAAGCACCGGCUAACUACGUG
This 465-nucleotide ribosomal RNA is filed under the name uncultured bacterium. RNAcentral describes it as "partial 16S ribosomal RNA". It matches the Rfam family "Bacterial small subunit ribosomal RNA", at positions 28 to 507 of the family's 1533-position model. The record is from RNAcentral.